Molecule: ribosomal RNA, 470 nt
Filed under: uncultured bacterium
Lineage: Bacteria
Description: bacterial SSU rRNA
Rfam family: Bacterial small subunit ribosomal RNA
Source: RNAcentral
ACUCCUACGGGAGGCAGCAGUAGGGAAUCUUCCACAAUGGGCGCAAGCCUGAUGGAGCAACACCGCGUGAGUGAAGAAGGGUUUCGGCUCGUAAAGCUCUGUUGUUAAAGAAGAACACGUAUGAGAGUAACUGUUCAUACGUUGACGGUAUUUAACCAGAAAGUCACGGCUAACUACGUGCCAGCAGCCGCGGUAAUACGUAGGUGGCAAGCGUUAUCCGGAUUUAUUGGGCGUAAAGAGAGUGCAGGCGGUUUUCUAAGUCUGAUGUGAAAGCCUUCGGCUUAACCGGAGAAGUGCAUCGGAAACUGGAUAACUUGAGUGCAGAAGAGGUAGUGGAACUCCAUGUGUAGCGGUGGAAUGCGUAGAUAUAUGGAAGAACACCAGUGGCGAAGGCGGCUACCUGGUCUGCAACUGACGCUGAGACUCGAAAGCAUGGGUAGCGAACAGGAUUAGAUACCCCUGGUAGGAUA